Long non-coding RNA from Marmota monax (woodchuck), 320 nucleotides. RefSeq lists it as uncharacterized. The transcript has 3 exons. The record is from RefSeq and is a predicted model, not a curated record. NCBI's taxonomy places the organism in Eukaryota, Metazoa, Chordata, Mammalia, Rodentia, Sciuridae.
UCGAGGCAUGUUGUGCGCAAACACCGUGACUUUGUUCCUAGUGUGGGUACUGCAGAAGACUUGGAGAGAGACUGUACAGAAGUGGUAAGAUAGGGAGGAGCCCAAAGUUGAAGACAGGAAGAAAGAAAAAAGACUCCAGGGCCUGUUCUGUCUUCUGCUUCAGAGUAAUGUGAUCACUAGAGCAGCUGGUGUCAAACAAUUCAUGAAAUACCCCUAAUAACAAGGAAGAGAGCAAAUUUAUACCAAAACUACUGAUCUUGCCAAGUUUUCCAGUCUGGCCUUGAAUUUGUAAUCCUCCUGCCUCAGCCUCCCAAGUAGCU